Molecule: ribosomal RNA, 253 nt
Filed under: uncultured bacterium
Lineage: Bacteria
Description: partial 16S ribosomal RNA
Rfam family: Bacterial small subunit ribosomal RNA
Source: RNAcentral
UACGGGGGGGGCUAGCGUUGUCCGGAAUUAUUGGGCGUAAAGGGCGCGUAGGCGGAAUUGUAAGUCAGAGGUUAAAUUUCGGGACUUAACUCCGAGUCUGCCUUUGAGACUACAAUUCUUGAGUGCGAAAGAGGAAAGCGGAAUUCCCGGUGUAGCGGUGAAAUGCGUAGAUAUCGGGAAGAACACCAGUAGCGAAGGCGGCUUUCUGGUUCGCAACUGACGCUGAGGCGCGAAAGCGUGGGUAGCAAACAGG